This 447-nucleotide ribosomal RNA is filed under the name uncultured bacterium. RNAcentral describes it as "bacterial SSU rRNA". It matches the Rfam family "Bacterial small subunit ribosomal RNA", at positions 355 to 825 of the family's 1533-position model. The record is from RNAcentral.
UCGGGAAUUUUGGGCAAUGGGGGAAACCCUGACCCAGCAACGCCGCGUGAAGGAUGAAGUAUUUCGGUAUGUAAACUUCGAAAGAAUAGGAAGAAUAAAUGACGGUACUAUUUAUAAGGUCCGGCUAACUACGUGCCAGCAGCCGCGGUAAUACGUAGGGACCAAGCGUUGUUCGGAUUUACUGGGCGUAAAGGGCGCGUAGGCGGCAAUUCAAGUCAUCUGUGAAAUCUCCGGGCUUAACUCGGAACGGUCAGAUGAUACUGCUUUGCUAGAGUGCAGAAGGGGCAAUCGGAAUUCUUGGUGUAGCGGUGAAAUGCGUAGAUACCAAGAGGAACACCUGAGGUGAAGACGGGUUGCUGGGCUGACACUGACGCUGAGGCGCGAAAGCCAGGAGAGCAAACGGGAUUAGAUACCCAGGUAGUCCCUGAGCGGGCUGGCAAGGCGCAU